UAUUUUAAAGAGAGUUUGAUCCUGGCUCAGGACGAACGCUGGCGGCGUGCCUAAUACAUGCAAGUCGAACGAACGGAGGAAGAGCUUGCUCUUCCAAAGUUAGUGGCGGACGGGUGAGUAACACGUGGGCAACCUGCCUGUAAGUUGGGGAUAACUCCGGGAAACCGGGGCUAAUACCGAAUGAUAAAGUGUGGCGCAUGCCACGCUUUUGAAAGAUGGUUUCGGCUAUCGCUUACAGAUGGGCCCGCGGUGCAUUAGCUAGUUGGUAGG
Molecule: ribosomal RNA, 270 nt
Filed under: Listeria monocytogenes
Lineage: Bacteria; Bacillati; Bacillota; Bacilli; Caryophanales; Listeriaceae
Description: partial 16S ribosomal RNA
Rfam family: Bacterial small subunit ribosomal RNA
Source: RNAcentral